This 441-nucleotide long non-coding RNA is filed under the name Ananas comosus (pineapple). RNAcentral's name for it is "long non-coding RNA (ACOM_LNC011371)". Lineage: Eukaryota; Viridiplantae; Streptophyta; Magnoliopsida; Poales; Bromeliaceae. The record is from RNAcentral.
AGAGAUCAUCAACUACAUGUGUAUAUAUAUAUAUAUAUAUAAUUAGGCUGGAAUACUAUUAAUAGUAAAACGCUUUUUUGCUAUCAAAUUUUUAACCAUUGGAUGAAAAAUUAUAGGGUCAGAAUAAUAUUAGUCGGUUAAAGAUGAGUGGUCUCCCUAGGAUUGAGUGGUCCCUACUAGGUUAUAGUAUUUAAUCCAAUGGUUAGAAAUAAUGAAAAGAAUUGAUCCAAUGGCUAAAAAAUUGAUAGCAAGAAUGAAAUUUUGCUACUAAUAGUAGCCCAAUCCAACUCAUAUAUAUAUAUAUAUAUAUAUAUAUAUAUAAUGUGUCCAUUCACCAGGUUCUUUUCUUUAUCCCCCUCAAAAUUUUAAACUUCACAAUACUUUUCCUCUUUUCUUUCUUUAUAUAUUUUUUUAAAAUAAUCUUUGAGGUGUGCUCCACAU